RNAcentral lists this unclassified non-coding RNA (317 nucleotides) under fungal sp. RNAcentral describes it as "partial internal transcribed spacer region". The stretch from base 1 to 46 matches the Rfam family "Eukaryotic small subunit ribosomal RNA", at positions 1786 to 1831 of the family's 1831-position model. The record is from RNAcentral. Lineage: Eukaryota; Fungi.
AAGUCGUAACAAGGUCUCCGUAGGUGAACCUGCGGAGGGAUCAUUAACACGUGUAAAAACGUAUUUUAUUCUAUACCAACCAAUACCGUGAACUAUGUUGCACAGAUAUAUAUAGUGUAUGACUAUUUUUAUAGUUUUUACUAUGUAUACUUCUUUUUUUUUGUUUUUAACAAACCCUUUUCCAACUUUAUUUUUUUUGUUCAAUUUAUUCUUUUUAGUUUUGUUAUAUUGUCAUGAUAUAGCAUUUCUUGAGAAGAUAUAAAAUCAUAUAAAAAAAUACAAAAGCACAACUCUUAGCAACGGAUAUCUUGGUUCUC